Oncorhynchus keta (chum salmon) is the source of this 505-nucleotide long non-coding RNA. RefSeq lists it as uncharacterized. The record is from RefSeq and is a predicted model, not a curated record. The transcript has 3 exons. NCBI's taxonomy places the organism in Eukaryota, Metazoa, Chordata, Actinopteri, Salmoniformes, Salmonidae.
GUGGCAUGGUGAUGCAUCCAGAAAUAUGAUUAUGUGUUGCAGUAUUGUAGGGACCGAGGGUGGCAUGGUGAUGCAUCCAGAAAUAUGAUUAUGUGUUGCAGUAUUGUAGAGACUGAGGGUGGCAUGGUGAUGCAUCCAGAAAUAUGAUUAUGUGUUGCAGUAUUGUAGAGACCGAGGGUGGCAUGGUGAUGCAUCCAGAAAUAUGAUUAUGUGUUGCAGUAUUGUAGAGACCGAGGGUGGCAUGGUGAUGCAUCCAGAAAUAUGAUUAUGUGUUGCAGUAUUGUAGAGACCGAGGGUGGCAUGGUGAUGCAUCCAGAAAUAUGAUUAUGUGUUGCAGUAUUGUAGAGACCGAGGGUGGCAUGGUGAUGCAUCCAGAAAUAUGAUUAUGUGUUGCAGUAUUGUAGAGACCGAGGGUGGCAUGGUGAUGCAUCCAGAAAUAUGAAUAUGUGUUGCAGUAUUGUAGAGACCGAGGGUGGCAUGGUGAUGCAUCCAGAAAUAUGAUUAU